This 83-nucleotide non-coding RNA is filed under the name Pseudomonas sp. NFACC56-3. RNAcentral also lists the same sequence under 3 other names. The record is from RNAcentral. Lineage: Bacteria; Pseudomonadati; Pseudomonadota; Gammaproteobacteria; Pseudomonadales; Pseudomonadaceae.
CGUUAUGGCAGCUGUACGCGGGAGACCUUCGGGUCUGCCGGCUUCCACUCCGGUUCGCCAACCUGCGUACAGUUGCCACCUUU